Molecule: ribosomal RNA, 807 nt
Filed under: uncultured bacterium
Lineage: Bacteria
Description: bacterial SSU rRNA
Rfam family: Bacterial small subunit ribosomal RNA
Source: RNAcentral
AGAGUUUGAUCCUGGCUCAGAAUCAACGCUGGCGGCGUGCCUAACACAUGCAAGUCGAACGCGAAAGUGGAGCAAUCCAUGAGUAGAGUGGCGAACGGGUGAGUAACACGUGGGUGACCUACCUUCGAAUGGGGGAUAACGUUCCGAAAGGGACGCUAAUACCGCAUAACAUCCUGCCUUUGAACAGGUGGAGAUCAAAGCUGGGGAUCGUAAGACCUGGCGUUUGAAGAGGGGCCCGCGUCCGAUUAGCUAGUUGGUGAGGUAAUGGCUCACCAAGGCAACGAUCGGUAGCCGGCCUGAGAGGGCGGACGGCCACACUGGGACUGAGACACGGCCCAGACUCCUACGGGAGGCAGCAGUGGGGAAUUGUUCGCAAUGGGCGCAAGCCUGACGACGCAACGCCGCGUGGAGGAUGAAGGUCUUCGGAUUGUAAACUCCUGUUGCCCGGGACGAAUGCUCUCGACCUAACACGUCGAGAGGUGACGGUACCGGGUGAGGAAGCCCCGGCUAACUCUGUGCCAGCAGCCGCGGUAAUACAGAGGGGGCAAGCGUUGUUCGGAAUUACUGGGCGUAAAGGGCGCGUAGGCGGCCUGCUAAGUCGAACGUGAAAUCCCCGGGCUCAACCCGGGAACUGCGUUCGAUACUGGUUGGCUUGAAUUCGGGAGAGGGAUGCGGAAUUCCAGGUGUAGCGGUGAAAUGCGUAGAUAUCUGGAGGAACACCGGUGGCGAAGGCGGCAUCCUGGACCGACAUUGACGCUGAGGCGCGAAAGCCAGGGGAGCAAACGGGAUUAGAUACCCCGGUAGUCC